UAACUUUUCACUGUGUACUUCUCAGACUCUUAGACCCGAGGAGGAAAAGGAAAUGAACCACAGAUAGCAAAGAGGUCUACCCUCAGCCACACAAUAAUUAUGGGGAAGAUCGAGGGUUUCCUGUUCUUGGCCUGGCCCACUGAGCCAUUUUGUCUCGAGAGCACAAGAAGGCAGAGCAGCAGGCAGAGGGAGAAGCCGGCUCUCCACCAAGCAGAGAGCCCCAUGCGGGACUCCA
RNAcentral lists this long non-coding RNA (235 nucleotides) under Mustela putorius furo (domestic ferret). RNAcentral's name for it is "lncRNA (ENSMPUG00000027595.1)". Lineage: Eukaryota; Metazoa; Chordata; Mammalia; Carnivora; Mustelidae. The record is from RNAcentral.